AGGACGAACGCUGGCGGCGUGCUUCAUACAUGCAAGUCGAACGAGAAAUUCACUUCGGUGGAUGGAAAGUGGCGGACGGGUGAGUAAAAUGUAGAGAAUCUGCCCUAGAGAGGGGGACAACAGAGGGAAACUUCUGCUAAUACCCCAUAUGAGCGUAGCUGAAAUGCUAUUCUUGAAAACUCCGGUGUUCUAGGAUGAGUCUGCAUCUGAUUAGCUAGUUGGGGGUGUAAUGGACCACCAAGGCGACGAUCAGUAGCUGGUUUGAGAGGAUGAUCAGCCACAAUGGGACUGAGACACGGCCCAUACUCCUACGGGAGGCAGCAGUAGGGAAUUUUGCGCAAUGGGGGAAACCCUGACGCAGCAACGCCGCGUGAUUGAAGAAGCCCUUCGGGGUGUAAAGAUCUGUCAGUGGGGACGAAACUUGACGGUACCCACAGAGGAAGCAUCGGCUAACUCCGUGCCAGCCGCAGC
This 471-nucleotide ribosomal RNA is filed under the name uncultured bacterium. RNAcentral's name for it is "bacterial SSU rRNA". It matches the Rfam family "Bacterial small subunit ribosomal RNA", at positions 26 to 518 of the family's 1533-position model. The record is from RNAcentral.